Molecule: ribosomal RNA, 253 nt
Filed under: uncultured bacterium
Lineage: Bacteria
Description: partial 16S ribosomal RNA
Rfam family: Bacterial small subunit ribosomal RNA
Source: RNAcentral
UACGUAGGGGGCUAGCGUUGCUCGGAAUCACUGGGCGUAAAGCGCACGUAGGCGGAUUGUUAAGUCAGUGGUGAAAUCCUGGAGCUCAACUCCAGAACUGCCUUUGAUACUGGCGAUCUCGAGUCCGGGAGAGGUGAGUGGAACUGCGAGUGUAGAGGUGAAAUUCGUAGAUAUUCGCAAGAACACCAGUGGCGAAGGCGGCUCACUGGCCCGGUACUGACGCUGAGGUGCGAAAGCGUGGGGAGCAAACAGG